GACUGACUCAUAUGAAGUCAUUUUUGUACGGUUUCUCAUCGUGAGAUGUAAUGUAAUUCUGGUUUUAUUUUUUUCUCCCAGCUGCACAGCUGUCUUUUAUAAUGCACAUAGGUUAUAUUAAACCGAGCACUAAUUAUCACUGUGCCAAGAGGCAGCAGCGCUAGGACUGCAGAUGAAACAGAAAACAGAGCUACAGCAAAAAGUACAGCAGAUUAAACCUCACUCAUGACCUUUUAAGUCUUGUGGGUGAGCUCUGAGCUACACACUGAGAUAAAGUGGAAUUUCCUGGCUUCAGCAGAGAGAAACUCAUGUCUUUUUGCUCCGAAGCACAAAGCACUACUGCUCAAGAAUAAGGAGAAUCAUCCUUGCCACAUGCCAGGCUGUGGGAUGACUUCUGCUUCUCUUGAUAACACUCACAAGCACGUAUCUGACAGUCAGUCCUUUAAGGUAAGCCCUGAGUCGCCGGUGUUCUCCCACUUCAGGAAAGCCGAGCACCAUCAGCUAAUGGCCAUGAAUAUUUCAGCUGUGUCAUUAUUAUUUCACAGAGGUAAAUGCUGCAGGGAAGAGCUGGGAGAUGGCAGCACGUUGCGUUCGGCUGCACUUGGG
Molecule: long non-coding RNA, 606 nt
Organism: Gallus gallus (chicken)
Lineage: Eukaryota; Metazoa; Chordata; Aves; Galliformes; Phasianidae
Source: Ensembl